This 300-nucleotide signal recognition particle RNA is filed under the name Pongo abelii (Sumatran orangutan). It matches the Rfam family "Metazoan signal recognition particle RNA". Rfam says of the family: The signal recognition particle (SRP) is a universally conserved ribonucleoprotein. It is involved in the co-translational targeting of proteins to membranes. The record is from RNAcentral. Lineage: Eukaryota; Metazoa; Chordata; Mammalia; Primates; Hominidae.
GUUUUGCAUGGUGGCAUAUGCCUGUAGUCCCAGCUACUCAGGACCCUGAGGCAGGAGGAUUGCUUGAGUCUAGGAUUUCUGGGCUGAAGUGCACUAUGCCGACUGGGUGUUCACGUUAAGUUCAGUAUCAAUAUGGUGACCCCACAGGAACGGGAGACCACCAGGUUGCCUAAGGAGCGGUGAACUGGCCCCCCAGGUCAGAAAAGGAGCAGGUCAAAACUCCUGUGCUGAUCAGUAGUGGGAUUGCUCCUGUGAAUAGCCACUGCAUUCCAGCCUGGGUGACAGUGGGACCCUGCCUCU